Molecule: long non-coding RNA, 1415 nt
Organism: Homo sapiens (human)
Lineage: Eukaryota; Metazoa; Chordata; Mammalia; Primates; Hominidae
Exons: 3
Source: RefSeq, a predicted model, not a curated record
AAGACUAGGAACCAAACAGAGUUCCACUCACCUGCAUCAACAUGGGGAAGGGUCCUCCUUGUCUGCAGGUGGCUAAGGAGGCUCAGAGCCAGGAGUUGGCUUGCGCAAGCCUGCCUGCCUUGGAACCCAGGGGUGUCUGAUGACAGAGUGUGGGCUCCUCCCAGCUCCAACCUGGCUUACUCCUCAGAGGAGAGGUGGGGUAUCCAGGGAGGGUGAAGGGGUGGGGUAUCCAGGGAAGCAUCCCCCUGUUGCCACCUGAGUUAGUCUUGGAGACCUUCAAACUCUGCUGUUUCAGGAACGGCUAAACUCACCUCAUAUUCUAAUGUGCCAGACAGACUCUCUCUCUUAAUCUUCAGGGCUAUCCUAUGAAGGACAAAUUGAGACAGUCCCAUUUUACAGAUGAAAAAAGAGAGGCUCAGAGGAAUGAAAUGGCUCCACGCCAAGAACAGGCAACUAACGGUGAGGGAAUAAGUGUUCGGGUCCCCUAAACUUCAUUGUUGAAAUCCUAAUCCCUAAGGAGAUGUUAUUAGAAGGGAGCAUGUUUAGGAGGUGAUGAGGUUAUGAGGGUGGAGCCCUCAUGCAUGCAAUUGGUGCUUUUGCAAAAGAAGCCCGAGAGAGAGGACCCUGCCCCCACCACCAUGUGAGGACACAGCAAGAAGACCCCAUUUAUGAAUCAGAAAAUCCACUCUCACCGGACACCAAAUCUGUCAGUACCCAGGUCCUGGACUUGCCAGCCUCAGAACUCACAGAGCUCCUAAAAUUCUUGUAACUUCCUGAGUGAGGAGGAACACAGAAGACCAGCAUUAUAGUUAAAAUAGACGUCGUAAGAUUGACAAAACAGACUCUUUGUGAUGAUAAGAUACCAAAUUACAUACAAGACCUAAGGCAAGUGUUAAGUCACUUCUAAGGGCCAUCAAUCUUGCUACAUCCCUCAUCCUUAUCUUAAAACAUUCUUUUUUGCAGACUCCAGGUUUUGCAGACUCCAGGUUUUAAGCAGACCUUACUCCUUUAACCAACUGCAAAUUAAAGAAGCCCUGAAUCCAUCUGUAACCUGUCAGCCCGCCCCUCUUCAAGAUAUUCUGCCUUUUCAGGCCAAACCAAUGUAUGUCUUCCAUGUACUGAUUUAUGACUUUGCCUGUAACUCCUUCCUCCCUAAAAUGCAUCAAAUCAAUUUUUACUUUAAGUUCUGGGAUACAUGGGCAGAAUGUGCAGGUUUGUUACAUAGGUAUAUGUGUGCCAUGGUGGUUUGCUGCACCAUCGUCUAGGUUUUAAGCCCUGCAUGCAUUAGGUAUUUGUCCUAAUACUCUCCCUCCCUUAUCUCCCACACCCCCUCCCUUGACAGGCUCCGGUGUGUGAUGUUCCCCUCCCUGUGUCCAUGUGUUCUCAUUGUUCAACUCAUGAUCGCAUGAGUGAGA